Molecule: long non-coding RNA, 705 nt
Filed under: Ananas comosus (pineapple)
Lineage: Eukaryota; Viridiplantae; Streptophyta; Magnoliopsida; Poales; Bromeliaceae
Description: long non-coding RNA (ACOM_LNC013169)
Source: RNAcentral
CCCCGGUAUCGGAUUUUUAGAAUCUGUAAUCCACUUCGAUAUCGACUGUUAUUGAUCCGGUACCGAUAGUUGGAACUCCGCAAUGGAAGCGUCGAAUCGGGUUUUUACCAUAAACCCGUCUCUUCAGCAAAAGCUGAUAUGAUCACAAAAGAAAGAAAAACCAAAACAAAAAAUCUGUCGAUAAAAUAAUAUUUAUUAAAUAAGAAAAGAUUACACCUAACUUCUCUUAUACAUAGAGUAGUUAUAACUCGAGCCAUCUUUUUUUGAAUCUCUCAUGCUCUUCUCUCGUCUUCUAUAAACCCACAAAAAAGACAACUCUCCACGUGCACCCGUGCAUUAGGUGCACUCAACCAUGGCUUUCUCUCCCCUGAUAGGAUUUCACCCAAGAAGGCAUUCUUUCUCACCGUACGUACUCUCUUCAAGAAUCUCAACUUGGCUGUACUACCCCCUUAAGCUCUCCACCAAUGAAGCUAUUUAUAAAGUUUACGUCAAAACGUACUCAAAUCCUAAUAUAUAGAAUUCCAACUCCAAUAAAUAUUUAAAUCUUAAUUAAUUUAUUUUCAUUAGAUUUAAAUAUUUAUUAUAAUCUAGUUAGAUUCAUACUCUAAUUAAUAUUUAAAUCUUAAUUUAUCUCCAAGAGAUUUAAAUAUUAAUUCUUAUAAAAAAUUAUACUAUUUUUGUAGUGCUGCUUAUUCCAAUUAAUUA